Molecule: ribosomal RNA, 253 nt
Filed under: uncultured bacterium
Lineage: Bacteria
Description: partial 16S ribosomal RNA
Rfam family: Bacterial small subunit ribosomal RNA
Source: RNAcentral
UACGUAGGGUGCGAGCGUUGUCCGGAAUUACUGGGCGUAAAGAGCUCGUAGGUGGUUUGUCGCGUUGUUCGUGAAAACUCACAGCUUAACUGUGGGCGUGCGGGCGAUACGGGCAGACUGGAGUACUGCAGGGGAGACUGGAAUUCCUGGUGUAGCGGUGGAAUGCGCAGAUAUCAGGAGGAACACCGGUGGCGAAGGUGGGUCUCUGGGCAGUAACUGACGCUGAGGAGCGAAAGCGUGGGGAGCGAACAGG